Molecule: unclassified non-coding RNA, 19 nt
Filed under: Dictyostelium discoideum
Lineage: Eukaryota; Evosea; Eumycetozoa; Dictyosteliales; Dictyosteliaceae
Source: RNAcentral
UGUCUAACUUGGGUAUAGG